ACUUNCUUUCUUUGCUGGCGACCGGCGCACGGGUGAGUAACACGUAUCCAACCUGCCCUUUACUCGGGGAUAGCCUUUCGAAAGAAAGAUUAAUACCCGAUAGCAUAAUGAUUCCGCAUGGUUUCAUUAUUAAAGGAUUCCGGUAAAGGAUGGGGAUGCGUUCCAUUAGGUUGUUGGUGAGGUAACGGCUCACCAAGCCUUCGAUGGAUAGGGGUUCUGAGAGGAAGGUCCCCCACAUUGGAACUGAGACACGGUCCAAACUCCUACGGGAGGAGCAUG
RNAcentral lists this ribosomal RNA (279 nucleotides) under uncultured bacterium. Its description in RNAcentral is "partial 16S ribosomal RNA". It matches the Rfam family "Bacterial small subunit ribosomal RNA", at positions 77 to 348 of the family's 1533-position model. The record is from RNAcentral.